RNAcentral lists this ribosomal RNA (368 nucleotides) under uncultured organism. Its description in RNAcentral is "bacterial SSU rRNA". It matches the Rfam family "Bacterial small subunit ribosomal RNA", at positions 526 to 896 of the family's 1533-position model. The record is from RNAcentral.
CGAAGGAUUCGAGCGUUAUCCGGAUUUAUUGGGUUUAAAGGGUGCGUAGGUGGACUAAUAAGUCAGUGGUGAAAGCCCGCAGCUUAACUGCGGAACUGCCAUUGAUACUGUUAGUCUUGAGAACAGUUGAGGUGGGCGGAAUGUGUCAUGUAGCGGUGAAAUGCUUAGAUAUGACACAGAACACCGAUUGCGAAGGCAGCUCACUAAGCUGUAACUGACACUGAGGCACGAAAGCGUGGGGAGCAAACAGGAUUAGAUACCCUGGUAGUCCACGCCCUAAACGAUGAUUACUCGAUGUUGGCGAUACACUGUCAGCGUCUAAGCGAAAGCAUUAAGUAAUCCACCUGGGGAGUACGACCGCAAGGUUG